RNAcentral lists this long non-coding RNA (215 nucleotides) under Elaeis guineensis (African oil palm). RNAcentral's name for it is "long non-coding RNA (EGUI_LNC063673)". Lineage: Eukaryota; Viridiplantae; Streptophyta; Magnoliopsida; Arecales; Arecaceae. The record is from RNAcentral.
AGCCCAUGCUAGUUAGAUCAGUCAUAUGAUGACUGAUUAGAUGAGAUCUAAAUCAAAAUUUAUUCAUAAAUAUUAAAUUCAUAGGUCUUCCAUUAUUGUAGAUAUGCGGGCGUAUUGCCGGCAUUGAUUAUUUUUGAUUGGUCACAGUUGUUCAGUUGCAUCUGGAACAUGCAACCACUCUAUUAGUAAAGAGUUGCUCUAAGGUAAGGAUGGGG